RNAcentral lists this ribosomal RNA (395 nucleotides) under uncultured bacterium. Its description in RNAcentral is "bacterial SSU rRNA". It matches the Rfam family "Bacterial small subunit ribosomal RNA", at positions 30 to 427 of the family's 1533-position model. The record is from RNAcentral.
AUUGAACGCUGGCGGCAUGCCUUACACAUGCAAGUCGAACGGCAGCACGGGAGCAAUCCUGGUGGCGAGUGGCGAACGGGUGAAUAAUGUAUCGGAACGUACCUUUCAGUGGGGGAUAACGUAGCGAAAGUUACGCUAAUACCGCAUAUUCUGUGAGCAGGAAAGCAGGGGAUCGCAAGACCUUGCGCUGAUUGAGCGGCCGAUAUCAGAUUAGCUAGUUGGUGAGGUAAAGGCUCACCAAGGCGACGAUCUGUAGCGGGUCUGAGAGGAUGAUCCGCCACACUGGAACUGAGACACGGUCCAGACUCCUACGGGAGGCAGCAGUGGGGAAUUUUGGACAAUGGGCGCAAGCUUGAUCCAGCCAUGCCGCGUGAGUGAAGAAGGCCUCGGUUGGU